RNAcentral lists this ribosomal RNA (294 nucleotides) under Staphylococcus aureus. Its description in RNAcentral is "partial 16S ribosomal RNA". It matches the Rfam family "Bacterial small subunit ribosomal RNA", at positions 1 to 284 of the family's 1533-position model. Lineage: Bacteria; Bacillati; Bacillota; Bacilli; Caryophanales; Staphylococcaceae. The record is from RNAcentral.
UUUAUGGAGAGUUUGAUCCUGGCUCAGGAUGAACGCUGGCGGCGUGCCUAAUACAUGCAAGUCGAGCGAACGGACGAGAAGCUUGCUUCUCUGAUGUUAGCGGCGGACGGGUGAGUAACACGUGGAUAACCUACCUAUAAGACUGGGAUAACUUCGGGAAACCGUAGCUAAUACCGGAUAAUAUUUUGAACCGCAUGGUUCAAAAGUGAAAGACGGUCUUGCUGUCACUUAUAGAUGGAUCCGCGCUGCAUUAGCUAGUUGGUAAGGUAACGGCUUACCAAGGCAACGAUGCAU